CUACGGGGGGCACCAGUGAGGAAUAUUGCACAAUGGGGGGAACCCUGAUGCAGCAACGCCGCGUGGAGGAUGGCGCAUUUCGGUGUGUAAACUCCUUUUAUAUGUCAAGAAAAUGACGGUAGCAUAUGAAUAAGCGCCGGCUAACUCCGUGCCAGCAGCCGCGGUAAUACGGGAGGGCGCAAGCGUUACUCGGAAUCACUGGGCGUAAAGGACGCGUAGGCGGGUUGAAAAGUCAGGUGUGAAAGCCUACAGCUUAACUGUAGAACUGCACUUGAAACUCUCAACCUAGAGUAUGGGAGGGGCAGAUGGAAUUAGUGGUGUAGGGGUAAAAUCCGUAGAUAUCACUAGGAAUACCUAAAGCGAAGGCGAUCUGCUGGAACAUUACUGACGCUAAGGCGUGAAAGCGUGGGGAGCAAACAGGAUUAGAUACCCCAGUAGUC
RNAcentral lists this ribosomal RNA (440 nucleotides) under uncultured bacterium. RNAcentral's name for it is "partial 16S ribosomal RNA". It matches the Rfam family "Bacterial small subunit ribosomal RNA", at positions 339 to 795 of the family's 1533-position model. The record is from RNAcentral.